Bos taurus (domestic cattle) is the source of this 2626-nucleotide long non-coding RNA. NCBI's taxonomy places the organism in Eukaryota, Metazoa, Chordata, Mammalia, Artiodactyla, Bovidae. The record is from Ensembl.
ACCCUCACUUGUUCUUUCACAAGAACUUACUUGCCUCUAACAUAAGGAAAUGACUUAAAGCUCUGGAAUCUGUUUUGCAAGAAUGUCAAUGGUAUUCGAAAUCAAGAGUGCCUACUUGGAUUCCAAGGACCAUGUUAAUGAUUUCACUCACAUCUUCCCUUAGUAAUUUGCACAAGGGUGCUGCAAAGUGUUAUCCCCGGUGUACACAUGAGGUAGUGGUUCAAGACCAGAGAUUUGUACCAGGGACCUUAGUAGGUGACAGGGCCUGGAUUGAAAACCCAGUGCUUUGCUGCUUCCACUACCUGUUUGCCAAAUGAGAAUCUCCUGAGUCACUCAUGACGCCAGCUCCAGGCCCCUCCCCAUAGAGAUUCCAGUCAGUGGACCAAGGUGGAGCUCAAGAUAAGUGUCUGGGCUGCUGCUUAGCAUGAGGCAGGUUUACACCUCAGGACACCAUGCUGCUGCUUUACCACCCUAACCUAGAGGCAUUUAUCAGCUCAGUAUGUUUCAGUUGGCUUGUCUUGGUCUUCGGAUGAAAGCUGAGUCCUGUUUCAGAGAGACUGACAGAGCUCCCAGGCCACAGCAGUCUGCAAAAACAUUCUCGAGUAACCUAUAGAGAAGACCUGCUGCUGCUAAGUCGCUUCAGUCGUGUCCGACUCUGUGCGACCCCAUAGAUGGCAGCCCACCAGAACGUGUAAAAGCCAAGCUGAGAAAGGACCUUCUGCCAAAAUACCACAUUACCCAUCAAUGUCCCCUCCUACCCUCUAAGUCUCCAUAAGCAACAGGGGAAUGACAAGGUUUGAACAGAAUCCAGUGGGACCUGGGAUACCUGCAAGUGACUGAUUCCCUUGGAGGGAUGUGAAAGCAGUUUCUCCUCCCAGUGGUGUGAACGUCUGUACUGUUGUUAGACUGGAGGGGCACUGGGAAGGUCGCGUGGCUCUGCCCACACCACUGUGAAAUGGCUGGCUUGCAAAAAUUACUGGGAAGUGCAGCAGCAAGACUGGCCUUAUCCCUGGGGAGUCACCUACUUAAUCUGACAAGAGUCUUACUAAUUAACUCAGCAUGGCAAACACGAAGGUCCCCCUUCAGGAAUGAAGGAUUUAUUUUCCUAGCUGCAGGAAAUGCUGACAGGAAACAGCUCUUGGCUGUAAGCCCUUUGGAAAGCAAUUUGACACCAAGGUCACAUCUCCUUUCAUGGGCAGUCCACAUCCAAAGACUGAUGAUAUGGAGUAUAAAGACCUGGUCCCCUUGUCCCAAAUCAAGAGAACUCUGAAGGGUCAUCCGAGCUUCUAAACUCCCUGUAGGGCUGACUGAGCCCUCCGUUGAGACUGCUGCAGCUCAAUUGUCCCCACCUCUUCUUUUUCCUCCCUCCCCUCUUCCUUCCUGUGGAUCCCAAAGGUUCUCUCUGAUAAGCCUGUGUGUGUUCAGUUGCUCAGUCAGACUCUGCGACCCCCAAGGACUGUACACUGCCAGACUCUGUCCGUGGGGAUUCUCGAUUCUCCAAGCAAUACUGGAGUGGGUUGCCACACCCUCCUCCUCCAGGCGAUCUUCCCAACCCAGGGAUCAAACCCAGGUCUCCCGCAUUGCAGGCAGAUUCUUUACCUUCUGAGCCACCAGGGAAGCUCCUGCCACCUGCGCCUUCCUGAGCCCACCUGGGACCAGAAUUCCUAGCCCAGCCCCGGCUGCUCCCUCAGGCACUCUCUCCUCCACUCGCCUGUUUCUCUACAAUGUCUGACCUUUAAUCCUGUCCACCUGGGCUUUGCCCUCUGCCUGCUGACUUGGGCCACCUGCCAUCCUGGUUGCCACAAAAAUCCUGUCCUCCUGUCUGUGAACCGGUUUGACAGCUGAGGUAAGGCUGGGAGUGGGGAGGAUCGCGGCGCUUCUACUGCCAGGCCAUGCCUCCAUCUAUAGCAUCAGCUCUGGGAAGCACUUAAUCACAAGGCAUGGCUUCUUCCUCCGGCAUGGACGAGAAGCCACUGAAGCCGUGAGCAUCUACCUCUCCCGGCUUAGUGCUGACCCUGCCACUGGCUGGCACUUCAGACCUGCAUUCAUGUGAAAUGCUGUGCUCAAGACUUCAGCUCGUGGCCAUGUGCAGAGACGCCUCCACCCACACGUACACCAUGAUUCAAGAUGGCACCAGUAAGCCACAUGCAGAGACGUGCACCCAGGCACUGCGAGAGCUCCAGUGGGUUCUGGGAGAGCACAGCUGCACCAGACUUGUCAGAGCUCUCUCCCCUCUCUGCUGACAAGAUCCUUAUAAAACAGCCCUGCUGCUGCUAAGUCGCUUCAGUUGUGUCCGACUCUGCAACCCCAUAGACGGCAGCCCACCAGGCUCCCCUGUCCCUGGGAUUCUCCAGGCAAGAAUACUGGAGUGGGUUGCCAUUGCCUUCUCCAAUGCAUGAAAGUGAAAAGUGAAAGUGAAGUCGCUCAGUCGUGUCCAACUCCUAGCGACCCCAUGGACUGCAGCCUACCAGGCUCCUCCAUCCAUGGGAUUUUCCAGGCAAGAGUACUGGAGUGGGGUGCCAUCGCCUUCUCCGUAUAAAACAGCCCUACUGAAGGCCUUUCAGGAAGAUCUUGUACCCAGGAGUACUAGCGAACAACUCUCCAUUCUUUGUUCAAAGACUAAAGC